UUCUAAUGAUGAUAUCAUACUUUGCCUGAUAUACGUGAGGGCAAAAUACUGAUUUAAUGAGACUGAGGA
Molecule: small nucleolar RNA, 69 nt
Filed under: Mytilus galloprovincialis (Mediterranean mussel)
Lineage: Eukaryota; Metazoa; Mollusca; Bivalvia; Mytilida; Mytilidae
Source: RNAcentral